AGGGCUUGGUCGCUGAGAAAGACCUGGAGCUCUGCAGGUACUUGUCAGCCAGGUGGUGGAACUUUCCUCCCAGGCCAGUAAAGAGGCAGCUUUGACGAACCAGGAAGUCUGGGAAGAGGCACAGGGCACCCUCACCAGCAGCCAGGGAUACUUCAGUCCAGAUGUCCGCAAGGACCACAGUCCCACCCAGGACAGGACAAAUUCCAGCAGUCUUGACCCUUGAUUGCUUCAGGGCUGCCUGCCCUGCCACUAGUGAAUCCCAAGUCCCUAUCCUGUCCUUGCUGUAUGUAAAUAAAUGUAAAUAAAAACAUGU
RNAcentral lists this long non-coding RNA (313 nucleotides) under Rattus norvegicus (Norway rat). RNAcentral describes it as "long non-coding RNA NONRATT011834". Lineage: Eukaryota; Metazoa; Chordata; Mammalia; Rodentia; Muridae. The record is from RNAcentral.